GCUACAUAGUAUUCCAGGGAUUCUGAUGAAUGGGAUGAACACUGGUGCAGAUGAGGAGGAUCUCCCUCAAAACAAAUGGACUACAUGGAGUCGGCAAAGGAGAUUUUACAUAAACUGAUCAGAACAUUAAGCACUGGAUUCAAAUUACGAGAAACAAAAAGAUUCCACAAAACAUGAAGAAGAAAUUCUGAUGAUCGCAGAAUCAGUUGGAAGAUACCAGAAGGGCGAUCAGAAAUGAUGUGAUGGCACUCAACAUGAUCAUAAUAGAUGCCCUUUUACUGUCCUAUGUUAUGGCUAGUUAAUGUGACUUGCACAUUAUCAA
Long non-coding RNA from Sceloporus undulatus (fence lizard), 322 nucleotides. RefSeq lists it as uncharacterized. The record is from RefSeq and is a predicted model, not a curated record. The transcript has 4 exons. Lineage: Eukaryota; Metazoa; Chordata; Lepidosauria; Squamata; Phrynosomatidae.